RNAcentral lists this ribosomal RNA (358 nucleotides) under uncultured bacterium. RNAcentral's name for it is "bacterial SSU rRNA". It matches the Rfam family "Bacterial small subunit ribosomal RNA", at positions 114 to 507 of the family's 1533-position model. The record is from RNAcentral.
UACAUGGGAACCUACCUUUUGGUUCGGAAUAACGUCGGGAAACUGACGCUAAUACCGGAUACGUCCUUCGGGUGAAAGAUUUAUCGCCGAUAGAUGGGCCCAUGUUGGAUUAGCUCGUUGGUGAGGUAACGGCUCACCAAGGCUACGAUCCAUAGCUGGUCUGAGAGGAUGAUCAGCCUCACUGGGACUGAGACACGGCCCAGACUCCUACGGGAGGCAGCAGUGGGGAAUAUUGGACAAUGGGCGCAAGCCUGAUCCAGCCAUGCCGCGUGAGUGAUGAAGGCCUUCGGGUUGUAAAGCUCUUUUGGCGGGGACGAUGAUGACGGUACCCGCAGAAUAAGCUCCGGCUAACUUCGUG